UACGUAGGGGGCAAGCGUUGUCCGGAAUCAUUGGGCGUAAAGCGCGUGUAGGCGGCUUGGUAAGUCCGGCGUGAAACCUUGGGGCUCAACCCCAAGCCUGCGCUGGAUACUGCCUCGCUCGAGUCCGGGAGAGGGAAGCGGAAUUCCCAGUGUAGCGGUGAAAUGCGCAGAUAUUGGGAAGAACACCGGUGGCGAAGGCGGCUUCCUGGAACGGUACUGACGCUGAGACGCGAAAGCGUGGGGAGCGAACAGG
Molecule: ribosomal RNA, 253 nt
Filed under: uncultured bacterium
Lineage: Bacteria
Description: partial 16S ribosomal RNA
Rfam family: Bacterial small subunit ribosomal RNA
Source: RNAcentral